UUAACAAUCCAACGACAAUUUGCAAUCAGAUUUCGUUCCGAAUCAGUUUCCCUGAAAUCCUGUUCCUGUUCCACUCAUUAAUCAUCUAACGUAUCCCUCAAAACUUGGAGCUUAGAGAUCGGUGAAAAGAUGAAGUUGGCAUCGAGUCCGUGGUCUUUCGAUGUUACUUCGAGCAGUGGUAACAAUUUUGAAAGAGGAGUUAAUGCGAGAAGUUCCGGCAGGGAACGCAAUUAUCCGCCACUGCUCGAGUGCCGUAACUCGACAGACUUUCAACGUGUUCAACGGAAAUUGUAUUUUCUUCUUCUUCUUUCUCGUUCAACCGUGCCACUUUGUCCAAUAGAAGGGAGGGGGGGGGGGCCUCUUGCCUCGAGAGAUCGAAUCGAUAACCGAUAAUUCUUGGUGAAACUUUGCAGGGAACAUCGUAUGUACGACUUGUUUCAUCUUAUGUUUUAACAAAUUUCGCGUAGAAUUAAAACUAAAUAGAAAUCUAAGGCUUUACUUUGUGCGAAGAAAAAGAUAGAGAAAGGAGAAAAAUUAAACAAAGGUAAAUAUCAUGGAAAGGCAUACAAGGAUCUCUUUCGUGUUCAACGAGUGCCCGGUUGAAGAGUGCUACGUUAAGGAAAGUUUUAAAAGCACGCCUUUAAUUCCAUUCAAUGCUAUCGCUCGCCGUGGAAUGAACAUUGAAAACACAGCCACUGUGAAACUAAUGAAAUUGAUUUGCACCGUUCCUUCCCGAGAAUCGACUUGGUAAAGAGUUCAAGCUCUCGAAGACACUGUUUCUUUUAAUCUUAUUUAUUGUACUUGAAACAGAGCUGCCACUUACCACGGAUCAAAAAAAAAAAAAAAAAAAAAAA
Molecule: long non-coding RNA, 854 nt
Organism: Apis dorsata (giant honeybee)
Lineage: Eukaryota; Metazoa; Arthropoda; Insecta; Hymenoptera; Apidae
Exons: 2
Source: RefSeq, a predicted model, not a curated record